UGAGCAGGCCUCCCCGGUCAGCCGCCUGCCUGCCUCAGCCCUCCGUGAUCAAUCUGGUCAAUGGUACACAUCCUUUCUACACCCCUCACAAAAUACAGGCUUUGCAGCACAUUUGUAGACUGUUUAAACACCUGCCAGUUGGAUUCUCAUUCUUUACUAGUUACUGUCCUAUUAUUAUUAUUAUUGCCAUUUAUAUAGCGCCA
This is a non-coding RNA of Pelobates cultripes (western spadefoot toad), 203 nucleotides long. NCBI's taxonomy places the organism in Eukaryota, Metazoa, Chordata, Amphibia, Anura, Pelobatidae. The record is from the annotation of a GenBank genome assembly.